RNAcentral lists this ribosomal RNA (497 nucleotides) under uncultured bacterium. RNAcentral's name for it is "partial 16S ribosomal RNA". It matches the Rfam family "Bacterial small subunit ribosomal RNA", at positions 28 to 507 of the family's 1533-position model. The record is from RNAcentral.
GACGAACGCUGGCGGCGUGCCUAAUACAUGCAAGUAGAACGCUGAAGCUUGGUGCUUGCACCGAGCGGAUGAGUUGCGAACGGGUGAGUAACGCGUAGGUAACCUGCCUGGUAGCGGGGGAUAACUAUUGGAAACGAUAGCUAAUACCGCAUAAGAGUAGAUGUUGCAUUACAUUUGCUUAAAAGGUGCAAUUGCAUCACUACCAGAUGGACCCGCGUUGUAUUAGCUAGUUGGUGAGGUAACGGCUCACCAAGGCAACGAGACAUAGCCGACCUGAGAGGGUGAUCGGCCACACUGGGACUGAGACACGGCCCAGACUCCUACGGGAGGCAGCAGUAGGGAAUCUUCGGCAAUGGACGGAAGUCUGACCGAGCAACGCCGCGGGAGUGAAGAAGGGUGUCGGAUCGUAAAGCUCGGUUGUAAGAGAAGAACGAGUGUGAGAGUGGAAAGUUCACACUGUGACGGUAUCUUACCAGAAAGGGACGGCUAACUACGUG